UGGGGAAACCCAGUGUGAUUCGUCACACUAUCAUUAACUGAAUCCAUAGGUUAAUGAGGCGAACCGGGGGAACUGAAACAUCUAAGUACCCCGAGGAAAAGAAAUCAACCGAGAUUCCCCCAGUAGCGGCGAGCGAACGGGGAGGAGCCCAGAGCCUGAAUCAGCAUGUGUGUUAGUGGAAGCGUCUGGAAAGGCGCGCGAUACAGGGUGACAGCCCCGUACACAAAAGCGCAUGUGCUGUGAGCUCGAUGAGUAGGGCGGGACACGUGGUAUCCUGUCUGAAUAUGGGGGGACCAUCCUCCAAGGCUAAAUACUCCUGACUGACCGAUAGUGAACCAGUACCGUGAGGGAAAGGCGAAAAGAACCCCGGCGAGGGGAGUGAAAAAGAACCUGAAACCGUGUACGUACAAGCAGUGGGAGCACCCUUUGGGUGUGACUGCGUACCUUUUGUAUAAUGGGUCAGCGACUUAUAUUCUGUAGCAAGGUUAACCGAAUAGGGGAGCCGGAGGGAAACCGAGUCUUAAUUGGGCGUUAAGUUGCAGGGUAUAGACCCGAAACCCGGUGAUCUAGCCAUGGGCAGGUUGAAGGUUGGGUAACACUAACUGGAGGACCGAACCGACUAAUGUUGAAAAAUUAGCGGAUGACCUGUGGCUGGGGGUGAAAGGCCAAUCAAACCGGGAGAUAGCUGGUUCUCCCCGAAAGCUAUUUAGGUAGCGCCUCGUGAAUUCAUCUCCGGGGGUAGAGCACUGUUUCGGCUAGGGGGCCAUCCCGGCUUACCAACCCGAUGCAAACUGCGAAUACCGGAGAAUGUUAUCACGGGAGACACACGGCGGGUGCUAACGUCCGUCGUGAAGAGGGAAACAACCCAGACCGCCAGCUAAGGUCCCAAAGUCAUGGUUAAGUGGGAAACGAUGUGGGAAGGCCCAGACAGCCAGGAUGUUGGCUUAGAAGCAGCCAUCAUUUAAAGAAAGCGUAAUAGCUCACUGGUCGAGUCGGCCUGCGCGGAAGAUGUAACGGGGCUAAACCAUGCACCGAAGCUGCGGCAGCGACACUGUGUGUUGUUGGGUAGGGGAGCGUUCUGUAAGCCUGCGAAGGUGGCCUGUGAGGGUUGCUGGAGGUAUCAGAAGUGCGAAUGCUGACAUAAGUAACGAUAAAGCGGGUGAAAAGCCCGCUCGCCGGAAGACCAAGGGUUCCUGUCCAACGUUAAUCGGGGCAGGGUGAGUCGACCCCUAAGGCGAGGCCGAAAGGCGUAGUCGAUGGGAAACGGGUUAAUAUUCCCGUACUUGGUGUUACUGCGAAGGGGGGACGGAGAAGGCUAUGUUGGCCGGGCGACGGUUGUCCCGGUUUAAGCGUGUAGGCUGGUUUUCCAGGCAAAUCCGGAAAAUCAAGGCUGAGGCGUGAUGACGAGGCACUACGGUGCUGAAGCAACAAAUGCCCUGCUUCCAGGAAAAGCCUCUAAGCAUCAGGUAACAUCAAAUCGUACCCCAAACCGACACAGGUGGUCAGGUAGAGAAUACCAAGGCGCUUGAGAGAACUCGGGUGAAGGAACUAGGCAAAAUGGUGCCGUAACUUCGGGAGAAGGCACGCUGACACGUAGGUGAAGUGAUUUACUCAUGGAGCUGAAGUCAGUCGAAGAUACCAGCUGGCUGCAACUGUUUAUUAAAAACACAGCACUGUGCAAACACGAAAGUGGACGUAUACGGUGUGACGCCUGCCCGGUGCCGGAAGGUUAAUUGAUGGGGUCAGCGCAAGCGAAGCUCCUGAUCGAAGCCCCGGUAAACGGCGGCCGUAACUAUAACGGUCCUAAGGUAGCGAAAUUCCUUGUCGGGUAAGUUCCGACCUGCACGAAUGGCGUAAUGAUGGCCAGGCUGUCUCCACCCGAGACUCAGUGAAAUUGAACUCGCUGUGAAGAUGCAGUGUACCCGCGGCAAGACGGAAAGACCCCGUGAACCUUUACUAUAGCUUGACACUGAACAUUGAGCCUUGAUGUGUAGGAUAGGUGGGAGGCUUUGAAGUGUGGACGCCAGUCUGCAUGGAGCCGACCUUGAAAUACCACCCUUUAAUGUUUGAUGUUCUAACGUGGACCCGUUACCCGGGUUGCGGACAGUGUCUGGUGGGUAGUUUGACUGGGGCGGUCUCCUCCUAAAGAGUAACGGAGGAGCACGAAGGUUGGCUAAUCCUGGUCGGACAUCAGGAGGUUAGUGCAAUGGCAUAAGCCAGCUUGACUGCGAGCGUGACGGCGCGAGCAGGUGCGAAAGCAGGUCAUAGUGAUCCGGUGGUUCUGAAUGGAAGGGCCAUCGCUCAACGGAUAAAAGGUACUCCGGGGAUAACAGGCUGAUACCGCCCAAGAGUUCAUAUCGACGGCGGUGUUUGGCACCUCGAUGUCGGCUCAUCACAUCCUGGGGCUGAAGUAGGUCCCAAGGGUAUGGCUGUUCGCCAUUUAAAGUGGUACGCGAGCUGGGUUUAGAACGUCGUGAGACAGUUCGGUCCCUAUCUGCCGUGGGCGCUGGAGAACUGAGGGGGGCUGCUCCUAGUACGAGAGGACCGGAGUGGACGCAUCACUGGUGUUCGGGUUGUCAUGCCAAUGGCACUGCCCGGUAGCUAAAUGCGGAAGAGAUAAGUGCUGAAAGCAUCUAAGCACGAAACUUGCCCCGA
This 2655-nucleotide ribosomal RNA is filed under the name Salmonella enterica subsp. enterica serovar Enteritidis. RNAcentral's name for it is "partial 23S ribosomal RNA". It matches the Rfam family "Bacterial large subunit ribosomal RNA". The record is from RNAcentral. Lineage: Bacteria; Pseudomonadati; Pseudomonadota; Gammaproteobacteria; Enterobacterales; Enterobacteriaceae.